Molecule: ribosomal RNA, 637 nt
Filed under: Lactococcus lactis
Lineage: Bacteria; Bacillati; Bacillota; Bacilli; Lactobacillales; Streptococcaceae
Description: bacterial SSU rRNA
Rfam family: Bacterial small subunit ribosomal RNA
Source: RNAcentral
UCAGGACGAACGCUGGCGGCGUGCCUAAUACAUGCAAGUUGAGCGCUGAAGGUUGGUACUUGUACCAACUGGAUGAGCAGCGAACGGGUGAGUAACGCGUGGGGAAUCUGCCUUUGAGCGGGGGACAACAUUUGGAAACGAAUGCUAAUACCGCAUAAAAACUUUAAACACAAGUUUUAAGUUUGAAAGAUGCAAUUGCAUCACUCAAAGAUGAUCCCGCGUUGUAUUAGCUAGUUGGUGAGGUAAAGGCUCACCAAGGCGAUGAUACAUAGCCGACCUGAGAGGGUGAUCGGCCACAUUGGGACUGAGACACGGCCCAAACUCCUACGGGAGGCAGCAGUAGGGAAUCUUCGGCAAUGGACGAAAGUCUGACCGAGCAACGCCGCGUGAGUGAAGAAGGUUUUCGGAUCGUAAAACUCUGUUGGUAGAGAAGAACGUUGGUGAGAGUGGAAAGCUCAUCAAGUGACGGUAACUACCCAGAAAGGGACGGCUAACUACGUGCCAGCAGCCGCGGUAAUACGUAGGUCCCGAGCGUUGUCCGGAUUUAUUGGGCGUAAAGCGAGCGCAGGUGGUUUAUUAAGUCUGGUGUAAAAGGCAGUGGCUCAACCAUUGUAUGCAUUGGAAACUGGUAGACUGA